AGCAGCCGCGGUAAUUCCAGCUCCAAUAGCGUAUAUUAAAGUUGUUGCAGUUAAAAAGCUCGUAGUUGAAUUUCGGGAUUGACGUGAUGGUCAUGCCUUAAGGGGUAUGAACUGUCGCUGUUGAUUUCUCACCUUCUGGAGAAACUUGAUGUCCUUAAUUGGGUGUCUUGCGGAUCCAGGACCUUUACCUUGAAAAAUUAGAGUGUUUAAAGCAGGCAUUUUUGCUCGAAUACAUUAGCAUGGAAUAAUAGAAUAGGACGGCAUGGUUCUAUUUUGUUGGUUUCUAGGAUCACCGUAAUGAUUAAUAGGGAUAGUUGGGGGCAUUAGUAUUCAAUUGUCAGAGGUGAAAUUCUUGGAUUUAUUGAAGACUAACUACUGCGAAAGCAUUUGCCAAGGAUGUUUUCAUUAAUCAAGAACGAAAGUUAGGGGAUCGAAGACGAUCAGAUACCG
This 450-nucleotide ribosomal RNA is filed under the name uncultured Entrophospora. RNAcentral's name for it is "SSU rRNA". It matches the Rfam family "Eukaryotic small subunit ribosomal RNA", at positions 569 to 1017 of the family's 1831-position model. Lineage: Eukaryota; Fungi; Glomeromycota; Glomeromycetes; Entrophosporales; Entrophosporaceae. The record is from RNAcentral.